RNAcentral lists this ribosomal RNA (486 nucleotides) under uncultured bacterium. Its description in RNAcentral is "partial 16S ribosomal RNA". It matches the Rfam family "Bacterial small subunit ribosomal RNA", at positions 28 to 507 of the family's 1533-position model. The record is from RNAcentral.
GACGAACGCUGGCGGCGUGCUUAACACAUGCAAGUCGAACGCUGAAGACCUGGCUUUUGUUGGGUUGGAUGAGUGGCGAACGGGUGAGUAACACGUGAGUAACCUGCCCUCUUCUUUGGGAUAACGCCCGGAAACGGGUGCUAAUACUGGAUAUUCACUGAUCUUCGCAUGGGGGUUGGUGGAAAGGUUUGUUCUGGUGGGGGAUGGGCUCGCGGCCUAUCAGCUUGUUGGUGGGGUGAUGGCCUACCAAGGCUUUGACGGGUAGCCGGCCUGAGAGGGUGACCGGUCACAUUGGGACUGGGAUACGGCCCAGACUCCUACGGGAGGCAGCAGUGGGGAAUAUUGCACAAGGGGCGAAAGCCUGAUGUAGCGACGCCGCGUGAGGGAUGGAGGCCUUCGGGUUGUAAACCUCUUUCGCUCAUGGUCAAGCCGCAACUGUGGGUUGUGGUGAGGGUAGUGGGUAAAGAAGCGCCGGCUAACUACGUG